This 287-nucleotide long non-coding RNA is filed under the name Elaeis guineensis (African oil palm). RNAcentral's name for it is "long non-coding RNA (EGUI_LNC012601)". Lineage: Eukaryota; Viridiplantae; Streptophyta; Magnoliopsida; Arecales; Arecaceae. The record is from RNAcentral.
GGCGGCAGCUCAGCUUUGGUGGUUUCUGAAGGAGCAAAAGACGACAGACAGAGCGACAGGAGAUCACGACAAGGGCGGUCCAAGUCUAGGAUGAGAGACUUGAGCAAGAUCAGAUGUUAUCGAUGUGAUGAGUUGGGAUAUCUAGUCAGAGAUUGCCCUCAACUCAGAGAUCGAACGAGGGCUACUGCAGUAAGUUAGAGGAUGAUAUCCUAGAGAUAUCUGAUGAGAUAUCUACUUCUUCUCAGCAAUAAAUUUUAGAUUCUACAUGCACCUAUCAUGUAUGUUGC